Molecule: ribosomal RNA, 1972 nt
Filed under: human gut metagenome
Description: bacterial LSU rRNA
Rfam family: Bacterial large subunit ribosomal RNA
Source: RNAcentral
UCAAGUAAGUAAGGGCGUACGGCGGAUGCCUUGGCCAUAUCAGCCGAAGAAGGACGCGAUAAGCUGCGAUAAGCUGCGGUGAGGUGCAAGUAACCUUUGACCCGCAGAUCUCCGAAUGGGGAAACCCGGCAGCAGUAGUGCUGUCAUCCUCUAUGAGGAAGGGCACCCGGUGAACUGAAACAUCUAAGUAGCCGGAGGAAAAGGAAUCAACAGAGAUACCCCUAGUAGCGGCGAGCGAACGGGGCAGAGCCCAAACCGGAAUGGGAAACCAAUCCGGGGUUGUGGACUGCUAUCAAAUGCAUGAGUGAAGCAGAAUGAGCUGGGAAGCUCAGCCAGAGAGAGUGAGAGCCUCGUAGGCGUAAGCAAGUGCAUGGAGCAGGAUCCAGAGUACCACGGGACACGAGAAACCCUGUGGGAAGCUGGGGGGACCACCCUCCAAGGCGAAACACUGAUAUGGACCGAUAGCGCAUAGUACCGUGAGGGAAAGGUGAAAAGAACCCCGGGAGGGGAAUGAAAGAGAACCUGAAACCGUAUGUCUACAAGCAGUCGAAGACCUUUAUAUGGUCGACGGCGUGCCUAUUGAAGAAUGAACCGGCGAGUUACUUCAGCUAGCGAGGUUAAGCGGAAAACGUGGAGCCGAAGCGAAAGCGAGUCUGAACAGGGCGUAUAGUUAGUUGGAGUAGACCCGAAACCACAGUGAUCUACCCAUGUCCAGGUUGAAGCACAGGUAAAAAUGUGUGGAGGACCGAACCAGUGAGCGUUGAAAAGCUUUUGGAUGAGAUGUGGGUAGGGGUGAAAUGCCAAUCGAACGUGGAGAUAGCUGGUUCUCCCCGAAAUAGCUUUAGGGCUAGCCUCAUGGCGAGAGUACAGGCGGUAGAGCACUGAACGGGGUAGGGGCCUAUCCGGCUACUGAACCUAAUCAAACUGCGAAUGGCUGUACUUAUCCAUGGGAGUCAGACUGUGAGUAAUAAGGCCCAUAGUCAAGAGGGAAACAGCCCAGACCAACAGCUAAGGUCCCCAAUGCCGUACUAAGUGGCGAAGGAUGUGGAAUUUCGAAAACAACCAGGAUGUUGGCUCAGAAGCAGCCACCAUUAAAAGAGUGCGUAAUAGCUCACUGGUCGAGAGACUCUGCGCCGAAGAUGUCCGGGGCUAAAGUACGGAACCGAAGCUUUGGCAAUUGACAUUAGUCAAUUGGGUAGGGGAGCGUUCCUGCAUGGGAGAAGCCUGACCGGAAGGACAGGUGGACAGGCAGGAAGAGAGAAUGCCGGUAUGAGUAGCGAAAAGAAGGGUGAGAAUCCCUUCCACCGAAAGCCUAAGGGUUCCUGGGCAACGAUCGUCGUCCCAGGGUAAGUCGGGACCUAAUCCGAGGCGGAGACGCGUAGGAGAUGGACAACAGGUUGAAAUUCCUGUACUGGCUGAGGCCGUUUGAGCGAAGGAGUGACACAGGAAGGAAGGCGCGCGUGCGAUUGGAAGAGCACGUCCAAGCAGGUAGGUUGGGAGACAGGCAAAUCCGUUUCCCGAGAGGCCGAGAUGCGAUGGGGAGCUUCUGGAGACAGAAGCGAAGGGGCUGGCACUAAACUGUCGAGAAAAGCUUCUAGUGAGGACUCAGGCACCCGUACCGAAACCGACACAGGUAGGCAGGAUGAGAAUUCUAAGGUGCGCGGGAAAACCCUCGUUAAGGAACUCGGCAAAAUAUAUCCGUAACUUCGGGAAAAGGAUAACCCAGCGUACGUGAAGUGCAGAAACGCACGGAGCGGAGAUGGGUGGCAGAAGAGAGGCCCAAGCGACUGUUUACCACAAACACAGGCGUCUGCUAAAGCGAAAGCUGAUGUAUAGAUGCUGACACCUGCCCGGUGCUGGAAGGUUAAGAGGAAGUGUUAGCGCAAGCGAAGCAGUGAAUUGAAGCCCCAGUAAACGGCGGCCGUAACUAUAACGGUCCUAAGGUAGCGAAAUUCCUUGUCGGGUAAGUUCC